This 75-nucleotide transfer RNA is filed under the name Youngiibacter fragilis 232.1. Its description in RNAcentral is "tRNA-Arg". It matches the Rfam family "tRNA". Rfam says of the family: Transfer RNA (tRNA) molecules are approximately 80 nucleotides in length. Lineage: Bacteria; Bacillati; Bacillota; Clostridia; Eubacteriales; Clostridiaceae. RNAcentral also lists the same sequence under 1 other name. The record is from RNAcentral.
GCCCUCAUAGUUCAAUGGAUAGAAUAAGUCCCUCCUAAGGAUUAGAUGUGGGUUCGAUUCCCGCUGAGGGUACCA